Saccostrea cuccullata (small rock oyster) is the source of this 138-nucleotide long non-coding RNA. RefSeq lists it as uncharacterized. The transcript has 3 exons. Lineage: Eukaryota; Metazoa; Mollusca; Bivalvia; Ostreida; Ostreidae. The record is from RefSeq and is a predicted model, not a curated record.
UUCAGGUGAUAACGAAUUGAUAAACAUUUUUUUCGUUUGUUCGUUGAUAGUUUGAGAGGAUAUGGGGCGUCAUUCAAUACUGUCUAUUAUUUGUUACUGCAUCAUUAUAGGUGGAUUGUCAUUUACCUUUACAAAAGG